CUCAGAAGUCGAUUCAAGUAAACAUGCUAACUUUCAUGCUUAGACACUAACUCAGAAUGUUUGAUUCAAGUAAACAUUAGUCCAUCCAGUUAAGGCAUCCAACAGACCUCACAUAUGUUAAACCUUCUAAUGGUUUCAUUUCAAAACUCUUAAAAGAGCAUACUAAGAUUAAGUCAGUAGCGACGUCAACCAAAGAUCCCGAUUCAGAGAACAACAUAGAAGGAUUCACAUUAGACAAAAACCAUUCAACAUAUGCACUGGCUCGACUAAUGAACCAUGUCAAACAUAAUUACCAUGACAAAAUUUAAAUAAGAUUUGAAAUACAGUCGACUAAAACAAGUAUAAAGCUACAGUUUAUCGAUCAGAACAUAGAAGACUUCGAGCAACUCUACUGUUGGGAUAUUUGAACCAAUUGAUUCGAGGUCAGCCUUAGCACAACCAUUGACUAGUUGUGUGCUGAAUCCUCUAUCAGAACACCACAUCUAACAGUGAAAACCAUUCUAGGUCGACCAUACAUUUCCAGUAUAACAUCUACAGAACUAUUAAUUAACUCUCUGAACCUUAUGGCUCAAUUAAAUCAUCAUGAUUACCAGAUCAUAUUGCAAAGAAGAUCACCAAAAGAAACUGAACAAAUCAUUCAUUUUAAAGCGAUGACAUCUUGAUUCAGAAUAUACUUCGAGCCAAACAACUACUCAAAUUGAUUUCUACUAACUGAAAAUACUCAAACACAUACCACCAUUGUGAACAGGUCUAGUCAGCAAGAAGUUUGAUCAUAACACAAACAAACCACCCUAGAUGAAUCUCAUAGCUCAAAAAACACUGAAACAAAACAGAGUCGCAUAGAAAUAAAGAGAGAAAAAUGGAACAUGAAGUUGCAAAUCUUCUUUUAUAACAAUUAUAAACCCGAUAAUACAACUCUCGACUUCAAAUCCUAUCGAGGUCCAGCAACAACUCAGCAGAUCAACAAGAGAAAAUCAAACUCGAGCUUCAAUUCAUCUUUUCAUCUCUUUAGAACUCAAAACAGGGCUCAGACAGUAAAAAAAUAUCUAUCUUUCUCUUAAACUUUUUAUUAACUCGACCCAGAAGAAAGAAACAAACUCAGAAAACCAUAAAUUCUAGAAUCCUUUCUACUUUUCUUUUUCUGAAUUUUAUUUUAGCCCCCGUCCGUCCCCUCACAAAAUUGGAUAAAGCCUAUUUUGGAAAUCAAUCCUUGAUGAAUGUGGGGUUCGAAUUGAGUGAAAUUAAUCCAAGGCCUCACACUCAUCCAACAUUUCAUCUCCAGAAGCUUCCAACCGUAAGACAGGUCUAAAAACGAGCAUAUGAGAGGAGAGGGAAUCUUGGUGUCAGAAACCGUUAGCAACGGAAAGAGGAGAUAUAGAGGAAUGCGUGGGUUAGGGAUUGAUGCUCACUCGCCAUGGAUUUGGACAAAAUUUUUGGGGCUUGUUCGCUUGUUCUUCGGAGAAGAAGAACAAUACUCGUGGAGUUUAGGGAUUUGGUAUUUGGGGGGAUUGUGCGCGUGUGUAUUAGAGAACGGGGUGGGUCGUGUAUUUUGAGGGAGGAGGCAGUGGGCAUGGGUCGCCGGAUUUCAUAUAGGAUAAGGUUUAGGCUCAAAGAGAUCAAAUGAAGUUGGUCCAAUUUUCCUAAAUCCCUUUUGCUUUUUUCUUUUUUUCUUUUUCUACAAUUGAAAUUAAAAUCCUAAGUUAAGUUAUAAAACCAAAUUAAUUUACAAAAAUACUAAUAAAACUUAAAUAAUU
Molecule: long non-coding RNA, 1754 nt
Filed under: Nicotiana benthamiana
Lineage: Eukaryota; Viridiplantae; Streptophyta; Magnoliopsida; Solanales; Solanaceae
Description: long non-coding RNA (NBEN_LNC022867)
Source: RNAcentral